Long non-coding RNA from Herpailurus yagouaroundi (jaguarundi), 984 nucleotides. RefSeq lists it as uncharacterized. The transcript is spliced from 2 exons. The record is from RefSeq and is a predicted model, not a curated record. NCBI's taxonomy places the organism in Eukaryota, Metazoa, Chordata, Mammalia, Carnivora, Felidae.
ACGAUUUCUGAUGUUGUCUAGGCAACCUCGGGGAGGGGGACCUCCAUCCCCGCCUCUUAUCCCUUCCCUUCCCUCCUCAGACCCCGGAGUGACGCGACUGAUGGGUGCUGGGCCUGCGGGGAUGGAGGUUCUGCUUUCCCAGGCCCGCCCCAGGAGGAGAUGGCCACCUUCUCUAGGUCUGCAGACUGUGCUGAGACCCCCACCCUCUUGUCUCCCUGGCCAUGUACUUCUCUGUCCCAGAGACCCUCCCCCCGACACAGGCACAGACACUCACCUGAGGCCAUACUGCCGGAACCCGGAGGGGUAUGUGGGAGACUGCCCGCCAGGGUCCGCACAACCGGGAAGCUGGGGUCGCAAGGGAGGGGAGGAGGGCUGAACCCAGACCCCGGCCAAGUCGCUCCAAGGAUCCCUGGCUCUGGCACCGAGAUGGAAGAAGUAAGGCAGUCUUUCAAAAUUGCCCGCAGGCGGGAGACGGACCUCGGCGGACCUCGGCCGCUGAACUAGCCUCGGAGACCCCGGGGAGUCCCGACUUCCAGCUGUCUGCUCAGGAGGCGAGCAGGCCACGUGCUCCCCAGAGAGCAGGACCCGGAACUCGUCUGUGCUUCUCUCAACACUCUCUGGGUGUUCAGGUUCGGACUAUCGUAGCUGGACUGUGGUGGAGUCACGCAACAGGUGCGACCCCACCGAAGCCUAGCCUGCGCCUCAGGGCGUCUCAGCCGCCCCGGGCCCCCGCUGUGUCCGAGGCCCCGCCCACUCCGAGCAGGCCCCGCCCCCGCCAUGUUCCUCUUUCCUUCGCCACGUGGGCAGCCGCCACUCCGCAGUUAGCCAGGCGGGUCUUGGGCAAGAGUUGUGCGUCAGCUUCCUCAUCAGUGAAAUGGGGCGGUGUAAUUGCACUCAAGGGAGUUGUUCUGAGCAUGAAACGUUAAGCACCUUUGCACGAUGCCUGGCACAAAGUCGAUGGCCCAUAAAAGAUAGCUAGUAUUG